RNAcentral lists this ribosomal RNA (440 nucleotides) under uncultured Massilia sp. RNAcentral's name for it is "bacterial SSU rRNA". It matches the Rfam family "Bacterial small subunit ribosomal RNA", at positions 358 to 790 of the family's 1533-position model. Lineage: Bacteria; Pseudomonadati; Pseudomonadota; Betaproteobacteria; Burkholderiales; Oxalobacteraceae. The record is from RNAcentral.
GGAAUUUUGGACAAUGGGCGAAAGCCUGAUCCAGCAAUGCCGCGUGAGUGAAGAAGGCCUUCGGGUUGUAAAGCUCUUUUGUCAGGGAAGAAACGGUGAAGGCUAAUAUCCUUUGCUAAUGACGGUACCUGAAGAAUAAGCACCGGCUAACUACGUGCCAGCAGCCGCGGUAAUACGUAGGGUGCAAGCGUUAAUCGGAAUUACUGGGCGUAAAGCGUGCGCAGGCGGUUUUGUAAGUCUGACGUGAAAUCCCCGGGCUCAACCUGGGAAUUGCGUUGGAGACUGCAAGGCUAGAAUCUGGCAGAGGGGGGUAGAAUUCCACGUGUAGCAGUGAAAUGCGUAGAGAUGUGGAGGAACACCGAUGGCGAAGGCAGCCCCCUGGGUCAAGAUUGACGCUCAUGCACGAAAGCGUGGGGAGCAAACAGGAUUAGAUACCCUUG